RNAcentral lists this transfer RNA (66 nucleotides) under Dendrohyrax dorsalis (Western tree hyrax). RNAcentral's name for it is "tRNA-Cys". It matches the Rfam family "tRNA". From Rfam's summary of the family: Transfer RNA (tRNA) molecules are approximately 80 nucleotides in length. Their secondary structure includes four short double-helical elements and three loops (D, anti-codon, and T loops). Further hydrogen bonds mediate the characteristic L-shaped molecular structure. tRNAs have two regions of fundamental functional importance: the anti-codon, which is responsible for specific mRNA codon recognition, and the 3' end, to which the tRNAs corresponding amino acid is attached (by aminoacyl-tRNA synthetases). tRNAs cope with the degeneracy of the genetic code in two manners: having more than one tRNA (with a specific anti-codon) for a particular amino acid; and 'wobble' base-pairing, i.e. permitting non-standard base-pairing at the 3rd anti-codon position. Lineage: Eukaryota; Metazoa; Chordata; Mammalia; Hyracoidea; Procaviidae. The record is from RNAcentral.
GGUCCUGUGGUGUAUAUCAUGUCGAAUUGCAAAUUUGAAGAAGCAGCUUCAACUCUGCCGGGACUU